Molecule: long non-coding RNA, 116 nt
Organism: Gopherus evgoodei (Goodes thornscrub tortoise)
Lineage: Eukaryota; Metazoa; Chordata; Testudines; Testudinidae
Exons: 3
Source: RefSeq, a predicted model, not a curated record
GAAGGUUCUAGAGUAAACCUCUACCUCAAUAUGAUGCUGUCUUUGGGAGCCAGAAAAUCUCACCGCAUUAUGGGUGAAACCGCGUUAUAUCGAACUUGCUUUGAUCCACCGGAGUG